Molecule: ribosomal RNA, 447 nt
Filed under: uncultured bacterium
Lineage: Bacteria
Description: partial 16S ribosomal RNA
Rfam family: Bacterial small subunit ribosomal RNA
Source: RNAcentral
ACCAGACUCCUACGGGAGGCAGCAGUGGGGAAUAUUGCACAAUGGGGGGAACCCUGAUGCAGCGACGCCGCGUGGGCGAGGAAGUAUUUCGGUAUGUAAAGCCCUAUCGGCAGGGAAGAAGAAAUGACGGUACCUGAAUAAGAAGCACCGGCUAAAUACGUGCCAGCAGCCGCGGUAAUACGUAUGGUGCAAGCGUUAUCCGGAUUUACUGGGCGUAAAGGGAGCGCAGGCGGCGCGCCAAGUCUGAUGUGAAACCCCGGGGCUCAACCCCGGGCAUGCAUUGGAAACUGGCGGGCUGGAGUGCAGGAGGGGCAGGCGGAAUUCCUGGUGUAGCGGUGAAAUGCGUAGAUAUCAGGAGGAACACCGGUGGCGACGGCGGCCUGCUGGACUGCAACUGGCGUUGAGGCCCGAAAGCGUGGGGAGCAAACAGGAUUAGAUCCCCUUGUA